This is an RNA transcript of Balaenoptera ricei (Rice's whale), 3515 nucleotides long. It is a transcript of the gene named protein phosphatase 2 regulatory subunit Bdelta, with no coding region annotated. NCBI's taxonomy places the organism in Eukaryota, Metazoa, Chordata, Mammalia, Artiodactyla, Balaenopteridae. The transcript is spliced from 11 exons. The record is from RefSeq and is a predicted model, not a curated record.
GCGCCCGGCCGCCCCCGGCCGCGCGCCGGCCGACCGGCCAUGGCAGGAGCCGGAGGCGGCGGCUGCCCUGCGGGCGGCAACGACUUGCAGUGGUGUUUCUCGCAGGUCAAGGGGGCCGUGGACGAGGACGUGGCGGAAGCUGAUGUCAUCUCAACUGUGGAAUUUAGUCACUCUGGAGAUCUUCUUGCAACAGGAGACAAGGGCGGCAGAGUGGUUAUUUUUCAGCGUGAACAAGAGAAUAAAAGCCGCCCUCAUUCCAGGGGGGAAUAUAACGUUUACAGUACCUUUCAAAGUCACGAACCAGAGUUUGACUAUUUGAAGAGUCUAGAAAUUGAAGAAAAAAUCAAUAAAAUUAGGUGGUUACCACGACAGAGUGCUGCUCGUUUUCUGCUCUCGACAAAUGAUAAAACUAUUAAAUUAUGGAAAAUAAGUGAACGGGAUAAACGAGCAGAAGGCUGUAACUUACAAGAUGAAGACGGACGACUUCGAGAUCCGUCUAGCGUCACGGCACUGCGGGUCCCAAUAUUGAAGCCCAUGGACCUUAUGGUAGAAGCAAGUCCACGACGAAUUUUUGCAAAUGCUCACACAUAUCAUAUAAAUUCCAUUUCAGUAAAUAGUGAUCAUGAAACAUAUCUUUCUGCAGAUGACCUGAGAAUUAAUCUAUGGCAUUUAGAAAUCACAGAUAGAAGUUUUAACAUCGUGGACAUCAAGCCGGCCAACAUGGAAGAGCUGACGGAGGUGAUCACGGCGGCCGAGUUCCACCCGCACCAGUGUAACGUGCUCGUCUACAGCAGCAGCAAGGGGACCAUCAGGCUGUGCGACAUGCGCUCCUCCGCCCUGUGCGACCGACACUCCAAGUUUUUUGAAGAGCCGGAAGACCCCAGCAGUAGGUCCUUCUUCUCAGAAAUAAUCUCUUCUGUGUCCGACGUGAAAUUCAGCCACAGCGGUCGGUACAUGAUGACCCGAGACUACCUGUCGGUGAAGGUGUGGGACCUCAACAUGGAGAGCCGGCCUGUCGAGACCCACCAGGUCCACGAGUACCUUCGAAGCAAGCUGUGUUCCCUGUACGAAAAUGACUGCAUCUUUGACAAGUUUGAGUGCUGCUGGAACGGCUGCGACAGUGCAAUCAUGACUGGGUCCUACAACAACUUCUUCAGAAUGUUCGAUAGGACUACAUGGAGGGAUGUUACGCUGGAAGCUUCCAGGGAGAACAGCAAGCCUCGCGCCAGCUUGAAGCCUCGCAGAGUGUGUGCAGGUGGGAAGAGAAAGAAGGACGAGGUGAGCGUGGACAGCCUGGACUUCAGCAAGAAGAUUCUGCACACGGCCUGGCACCCAGCGGAGAACAUCAUUGCGGUGGCUGCCACCAAUAACCUGUACAUAUUCCAGGACAAGGCCAACUAAGGAGGCAGCGGGACCCGCGUCUCGUGCAGAAUCGCGCCUGGUCGUUUGGUGCCAGAGGACAGGCGACAUCCUCUCCGUGAAGAGCAGGGACGCCCUCCUGCCUCCGCACAGACUGCAUGGGCUGGCCGCGCGGGUGCCCGCAGGCUUCUGCUUCAGCAAGAGUGGUGGAACGUGUGCAGUACUUCAAACUCUGAACGUAUGUAUCCACAAACUUCCAUAACUUUUUUGUUUCUGUAGAAAUGGUACAUCUGACACACCAGGUAAGGUCUGGAAAAAGCCUUAACUGCAGCUGCCUCUGAGAAAGAAAAUCCCAAGGAGUAGUAACAGGAUCGCUGCUGAAAAAGUAACACGUGGUUUAAAGUAUGCCUCAAAUUCACUGCAGUUGAAAACUUACGUGCUUUUUUAACCUUUUUAAAAGUACUUUGGGGGAGGGGUAACAUACUUUUUAAAAACUGCUGGAAUUAUAUGCAUGCCGAAUUUCAUACUGCAUUUCAAGCAGCAAAAAUUAAACAAUUUUAAUUAUUAUGCAAUGCCACCAGUACCUUGGUGGUUUACUUUAAAAGUAGGUUGAUAUCAGAAAUCAAGAUUUCCUAAGACAAAAAAAUACAGAGGUAACAACACUAAGUGAUUGGAGCUUGCGGCCGUGAAAUUUCACACAGGAGCCCGAGACCCAGUCCUCCGGGGGACGGGACAGCUGGGGCUCACGUGCUGCUCUUGAAAUUAAGGUGUAUUUUGGUCACUGGUGAUAUGGAUAUGCAAGAACAAAUGUCUUGUCAACUCAUUCCCCUGAAUUCAUGUUAACAGGGUGCCACAUUAGCUCACGUUACGUUGGAAAUAGAGAAUCAACAAGUACAUUUAUUUUCAUUUAAAGGUAAUUGUUCUACUGCGUAUUGGUUGACGCAGUUCACAAACCUGAGAUGUGGAACAGAGUUGUCUAAGUAUCAGUCAACCCUGGCCCUUAAGGUAAAGCAGUUCUAGUAAGAUGGGGUUGUAUUUACUUGUUCAGCUUUUUGACCAAAAAGUUUAAUAAAUUUCAGAUGUUUAACCAGAUUUGUACUAUGUAACUGGACGACUUUUUUCCAUCUUUCCUUUAAGACGUAUUUCCUACCAAACAGGAAACCAGCCUUCUGCCUCUCAGGCGGCCCCGGGCAGGAGGCGCGUGCGUGGUGGCUGCUGCCGGCCGGGCGGGGCUCCCUGUGUCCCUGGGCUCUUCUCCCCCGAGUCGGGCAGACGCCCCUCAGAGAUGCUGUUGAGAAACGUGUAAUUUAAGAGGUGUCUAGCAGUUUCUUCCGUGUCUUUUUCCAUUAGACACUUCUGAUUCCAUUUAAGCCUUUUUCCCCUCCUGAUGAGGUAAAAAUCCUAUGGGUUUCAGACUUGACGUUUAUUUCUUCUUCAUAUUCUUUGUUUAAAAAGUAUCUGUUGUAUUUCUUGUUCUUCCAAAGCUUACCCCUUUUCUCCUGUUUAAAGCUAGAGAAAGCUAGAGAAAUUUUAUCUGUUCCUGAAAGGUAAUUCUGUGAGUUUUCAUCGUUCCUUAGAAUUCUGUGCUCCUGUUUUUCCUGAAGCUUUAAUGCUGUCUAGGUUGAUGGCCUGGGUUGGAUGAAUACGCUUUAUUCGUGUGUGGAUUUAGACGUGCACUUUUUAAAGAACAGUGGCGCUUCUAGAAGCCAGUACAGGACAGGACUCAGAGUCUGAUUUUAAACCGUCCGCCAGUCGUGGGCGUUCGCAGGAUGAGCAGCAAACUCCCUCCCCCGUGGAGCUGAGUAGCCGUGGCCUCACAGCCGGGAGCCGGCCCAGACUGUCCCCUGGUCAGCGUGGUGGGGUCCAGGCCCCGCGGGCCGAGCCCAGGGCUCUGGUGCUGCGUGGCCGUCUGAGGAGGAACUGUCUGCACGCUUUUGUCAAAGGGGGUCCAAGGUUGGCACUGAGGCUUUUUCUUCUGAGCGCGUCCGGCGCCCGCGGGCAGAGGCGGGUGCGCAGGCCGGGCCGGGCCGCGCCCCUCGUGGGGAGGACGGCGCGCCGCGCUCCGAGUCCCGGUCUGAGACCAGGUGCUGCCCCGGGGUCAUGAUGGGGCGGCGGGGGACAGUCCUCCCAUCAGGAACUGCCCACUGGGUGCUGUG